UACGGAGGGUGCAAGCGUUGCUCGGAAUUAUUGGGCGUAAAGGGCAGGUAGGUGGUCUCAUUUGUCUGAGGUGAAAGCCUUGGGCUUAACCCAAGAAGUGCCUCGGAAACGGUGAGACUCGAGUGCUGGAGAGGUGAGUGGAAUUCCCGGUGUAGCGGUGAAAUGCGUAGAGAUCGGGAGGAACACCAGUGGCGAAGGCGGCUCACUGGACAGCAACUGACACUCAACUGCGAAAGCGUGGGGAGCAAACAGG
RNAcentral lists this ribosomal RNA (253 nucleotides) under uncultured bacterium. RNAcentral describes it as "partial 16S ribosomal RNA". It matches the Rfam family "Bacterial small subunit ribosomal RNA", at positions 524 to 776 of the family's 1533-position model. The record is from RNAcentral.